GAUGAACGCUGGCGGCGUGCUUAACACAUGCAAGUCGAACGGAAAGUCUCCUGCUUGCAGGGGUACUCGAGUGGCGAACGGGUGAGUAACACGUGGGUGAUCUGCCCUGCACUUCGGGAUAAGCCUGGGACACUGGGUCUAAUACCGGAUAGGACGAUGGUUUGUAUGCUAUUGUGGAAAGUUUUUCGGUGUGGGAUGGGCUCGCGGCCUAUCAGCUUGUUGGUGGGGUAAUGGCCUACCAAGGCGUCGACCGGUAGCCGGCCUGAGAGGGUGGACGGCCAAACUGCGACUGGGAUACGGCACAGACUCCUACGGGAGGCAGCGGUGGAGAAGAGUGUACAAUGGGCGCAAGCCUGAUGCAGCGACGCCGCGUGGGGGAUGACGGGCAUCGGGUUGUAAACUCAUUCCGCUAGGGACGAAGCGAAAGUGACGGUACCGGGAGAAGAAGCACCGGCUAACUCCGUG
Molecule: ribosomal RNA, 465 nt
Filed under: uncultured bacterium
Lineage: Bacteria
Description: partial 16S ribosomal RNA
Rfam family: Bacterial small subunit ribosomal RNA
Source: RNAcentral